GGCCCUAUAGCUCAGCGGUAGAGCGUUGGCUUCCAGUACAUAUUUGGAAUCUUCCAAAGGUCAUCCGUUCAAAUCGGGUUGGGGUCA
This 87-nucleotide transfer RNA is filed under the name Testicularia cyperi. It matches the Rfam family "tRNA". From Rfam's summary of the family: Transfer RNA (tRNA) molecules are approximately 80 nucleotides in length. Their secondary structure includes four short double-helical elements and three loops (D, anti-codon, and T loops). Lineage: Eukaryota; Fungi; Basidiomycota; Ustilaginomycetes; Ustilaginales; Anthracoideaceae. The record is from Rfam by way of RNAcentral.